UGUUUCUAAGGUGGAAAUCAAAGGAUCAGGUGGAGGAGGAAGAAGAAGGAGAUUCUGAAAUGGUGUCAUAGAAACCAAGGAAGGAAAUAAUUUUUUUUAAAAAAAGUCAUACUCAACAAAACCUCCCCAAAAAGGAGACCAAGAGAUCAAACAAGAUUGAAGUCAUCUGUCUGGAAUUCCAAAAGCCGACAACAGCCAUUUCAGAUCUUCGCGUUUUUUCCCUCAGAUGUGACAGACAGAGAUCAUCAUGUAAAAUCAGGGCAGAAAAAAGUGCAGAAUGGAAAUUUUUAUUCACAUUUUGGAAGAAAGUAUGUCACAAAUAGAGUCAAGUGGCAAAAAAAAGAAAAGAAAUAAAAAAUUUCCCAAUGUCACACUGUCAAUAGGUCUUCCGUAUUGGGGUUGAAAUUUCUCUUUAAUUUGUCUGGAAGAAUAUAAG
RNAcentral lists this long non-coding RNA (436 nucleotides) under Equus caballus (horse). Its description in RNAcentral is "lncRNA (ENSECAG00000041626.2)". The record is from RNAcentral. Lineage: Eukaryota; Metazoa; Chordata; Mammalia; Perissodactyla; Equidae.